GACAGAGGGUGCGAACGUUGUUCGGAAUUACUGGGCGUAAAGCGCAUGUAGGCGGCAGCGCAAGUCGGGCGUGAAAUCCCACGGCUCAACCGUGGAAGUGCACUCGAAACUGCGCAGCUAGAGUCCUGGAGAGGAAGGUGGAAUGCUUGGUGUAGAGGUGAAAUUCGUAGAUAUCAAGCGGAACACCGGUGGCGAAGGCGGCCUUCUGGACAGUGACUGACGCUGAGAUGCGAAAGCGUGGGGAGCAAGCAGG
This 253-nucleotide ribosomal RNA is filed under the name uncultured bacterium. Its description in RNAcentral is "partial 16S ribosomal RNA". It matches the Rfam family "Bacterial small subunit ribosomal RNA", at positions 524 to 776 of the family's 1533-position model. The record is from RNAcentral.